UACGUAGGGCGCAAGCGUUGUCCGGAAUUAUUGGGCGUAAAGAGCUCGUAGGCGGCCUGACAGGUCUGCUGUGAAAACUCGAGGCUCAACCUCGAGAUGUCGGCGGAAACCGUCUGGCUAGAGUCCGGAAGAGGAGAGUGGAAUUCCUGGUGUAGCGGUGAAAUGCGCAGAUAUCAGGAAGAACACCUAUGGCGAAGGCAGCUCUCUGGGACGGUACUGACGCUGAGACGCGAAAGCGUGGGGAGCGAACAGG
This 253-nucleotide ribosomal RNA is filed under the name uncultured bacterium. RNAcentral's name for it is "partial 16S ribosomal RNA". It matches the Rfam family "Bacterial small subunit ribosomal RNA", at positions 524 to 776 of the family's 1533-position model. The record is from RNAcentral.